This 439-nucleotide ribosomal RNA is filed under the name uncultured bacterium. RNAcentral's name for it is "partial 16S ribosomal RNA". It matches the Rfam family "Bacterial small subunit ribosomal RNA", at positions 339 to 795 of the family's 1533-position model. The record is from RNAcentral.
CUACGGGACGCUGCAGUGAGGAAUAUUGCACAAUGGGGGGAACCCUGAUGCAGCAACGCCGCGUGGAGGAUGUCGCAUUUCGGUGUGUAAACUCCUUUUAUAUGUCAAGAAAAUGACGGUAGCAUAUGAAUAAGCACCGGCUAACUCCGUGCCAGCAGCCGCGGUAAUACGGAGGGUACAAGCGUUACUCGGAAUCACUGGGCGUAAAGGACGCGUAGGCGGGUUGGAAAGUCAGGUGUGAAAUCCUACAGCUUAACUGUAGAACUGCACUUGAAACUUCUAAUCUAGAGUAUGGGAGGGGGAGAUGGAAUUAGUGGUGUAGGGGUAAAAUCCGUAGAUAUCACUAGGAAUACCUAAAGCGAAGGCGAUCUCCUGGAACAUUACUGACGCUAAGGCGUGAAAGCGUGGGGAGCAAACAGGAUUAGAUACCCGAGUAGUC